RNAcentral lists this ribosomal RNA (522 nucleotides) under uncultured bacterium. RNAcentral's name for it is "bacterial SSU rRNA". It matches the Rfam family "Bacterial small subunit ribosomal RNA", at positions 777 to 1297 of the family's 1533-position model. The record is from RNAcentral.
AAUAGAUACCCCGGUAGUCCAUGCCGUAAACGUUGGGAACUAGAUGUGGGGGCCAUUCCACGGUCUCCGUGUCGCAGCUAACGCAUUAAGUUCCCCGCCUGGGGAGUACGGCCGCAAGGCUAAAACUCAAAGGAAUUGACGGGGGCCCGCACAAGCGGCGGAGCAUGCGGAUUAAUUCGAUGCAACGCGAAGAACCUUACCAAGGCUUGACAUAUACGAGAACGCUGCAGAAAUGUAGAACUCUUUGGACACUCGUAUACAGGUGGUGCAUGGUUGUCGUCAGCUCGUGUCGUGAGAUGUUGGGUUAAGUCCCGCAACGAGCGCAACCCUCGUUCUAUGUUGCCAGCACGUAAUGGUGGGAACUCAUAGGAGACUGCCGGGGUCAACUCGGAGGAAGGUGGGGAUGACGUCAAAUCAUCAUGCCCCUUAUGUCUUGGGCUUCACGCAUGCUACGAUGGCCGGUACAAAGGGCUGCAAUACCGCAAGGUGGAGCGAAUCCCAAAAAGCCGGUCUCAGUUCGGA